RNAcentral lists this ribosomal RNA (301 nucleotides) under uncultured bacterium. Its description in RNAcentral is "partial 16S ribosomal RNA". It matches the Rfam family "Bacterial small subunit ribosomal RNA", at positions 509 to 807 of the family's 1533-position model. The record is from RNAcentral.
CAGCAGCCACGGUAAUACGAAGGGGGCUAGCGUUGCUCGGAAUGACUGGGCGUAAAGGGCGCGUAGGCGGCGAUCAAAGUCAGGCGUGAAAUUCCUGGGCUCAACCUGGGGGCUGCGCUUGAUACUUGGUUGCUUGAGUGGGGAAGAGGGUCGUGGAAUUCCCAGUGUAGAGGUGAAAUUCGUAGAUAUUGGGAAGAACACCGGUGGCGAAGGCGGCGACCUGGUCCUUGACUGACGCUGAGGCGCGAAAGCGUGGGGAGCAAACAGGAUUAGAGACCCGCGUAGUCCCUGUCUCUUAUAC